This 1440-nucleotide ribosomal RNA is filed under the name uncultured organism. RNAcentral describes it as "SSU rRNA". It matches the Rfam family "Bacterial small subunit ribosomal RNA". The record is from RNAcentral.
AGCUACAGGCUUAACACAUGCAAGUCGAGGGGCAGCAUGGUCUUAGCUUGCUAAGGCCGAUGGCGACCGGCGCACGGGUGAGUAACACGUAUCCAACCUGCCGUCUACUCUUGGACAGCCUUCUGAAAGGAAGAUUAAUACAAGAUGGCAUCAUGAGUCCACAUGUUCACAUGAUUAAAGGUAUUCCGGUAGACGAUGGGGAUGCGUUCCAUUAGAUAGUAGGCGGGGUAACGGCCCACCUAGUCUUCGAUGGAUAGGGGUUCUGAGAGGAAGGUCCCCCACAUUGGAACUGAGACACGGUCCAAACUCCUACGGGAGGCAGCAGUGAGGAAUAUUGGUCAAUGGGCGAGAGCCUGAACCAGCCAAGUAGCGUGAAGGAUGACUGCCCUAUGGGUUGUAAACUUCUUUUAUAAAGGAAUAAAGUCGGGUAUGCAUACCCGUUUGCAUGUACUUUAUGAAUAAGGAUCGGCUAACUCCGUGCCAGCAGCCGCGGUAAUACGGAGGAUCCGAGCGUUAUCCGGAUUUAUUGGGUUUAAAGGGAGCGUAGAUGGAUGUUUAAGUCAGUUGUGAAAGUUUGCGGCUCAACCGUAAAAUUGCAGUUGAUACUGGAUAUCUUGAGUGCAGUUGAGGCAGGCGGAAUUCGUGGUGUAGCGGUGAAAUGCUUAGAUAUCACGAAGAACUCCGAUUGCGAAGGCGGCCUGCUAAGCUGCAACUGACAUUGAGGCUCGAAAGUGUGGGUAUCAAACAGGAUUAGAUACCCUGGUAGUCCACACGGUAAACGAUGAAUACUCGCUGUUUGCGAUAUACAGCAAGCGGCCAAGCGAAAGCGUUAAGUAUUCCACCUGGGGAGUACGCCGGCAACGGUGAAACUCAAAGGAAUUGACGGGGGCCCGCACAAGCGGAGGAACAUGUGGUUUAAUUCGAUGAUACGCGAGGAACCUUACCCGGGCUUAAAUUGCAGAUGAAUUACGGUGAAAGCCGUAAGCCGCAAGGCAUCUGUGAAGGUGCUGCAUGGUUGUCGUCAGCUCGUGCCGUGAGGUGUCGGCUUAAGUGCCAUAACGAGCGCAACCCUUGUUGUCAGUUACUAACAGGUCAUGCUGAGGACUCUGACAAGACUGCCAUCGUAAGAUGUGAGGAAGGUGGGGAUGACGUCAAAUCAGCACGGCCCUUACGUCCGGGGCUACACACGUGUUACAAUGGGGGGUACAGAGGGCCGCUACCACGCGAGUGGAUGCCAAUCCCAAAAACCUCUCUCAGUUCGGACUGGAGUCUGCAACCCGACUCCACGAAGCUGGAUUCGCUAGUAAUCGCGCAUCAGCCACGGCGCGGUGAAUACGUUCCCGGGCCUUGUACACACCGCCCGUCAAGCCAUGGGAGCCGGGGGUACCUGAAGUGCGUAACCGCGAGGAGCGCCCUAGGGUAAAACUGGUGACUGGGGCU